This 779-nucleotide ribosomal RNA is filed under the name uncultured Neocallimastigales. Its description in RNAcentral is "partial large subunit ribosomal RNA". It matches the Rfam family "Eukaryotic large subunit ribosomal RNA", at positions 23 to 645 of the family's 3401-position model. Lineage: Eukaryota; Fungi; Neocallimastigomycota; Neocallimastigomycetes; Neocallimastigales. The record is from RNAcentral.
AGAGAGAGACAUGCGCGCAUAUCAAUAAGCGGAGGAAAAGAAACUAACUAGGAUUCCCUUAGUAACGGCGAGUGAAGCGGGAAGAGCUCAAAUUUGAAAUCUUCAAGGGUUCUACCUUUACGAAUCGUAGUUUAAAGAAGUGUUUUCUGUUGAGGUUUUGGUAAAAGUUCUUUGGAAUAGGACAUCAUAGAGGGUGAGAAUCCCGUAUUUGACCAUUACUUUCAACUGUGUGAUACACUUUCAAAGAGUCGGAUUGUUUGGGAAUGCAGUCCAAAAUGGGUGGUAAAUUUCAUCUAAAGCUAAAUAUUGGCGAGAGACCGAUAGCGAACAAGUACCGUGAGGGAAAGAUGAAAAGAACUUUGAAAAGAGAGUUAAACAGUACGUGAAAUUGUCAAAAGGGAAGCGUUUGACACCAGUGUUGUUUUCUCGAAAAUCAAUUAAAAAAGGCUAGGAUUUUGUGUUGUAUUGACCUUAAUCAGCUUCUGCACUUCAAUUUUCUUGUCUUUUUUAAUGCACUUUUCGUUUAACAAGUCAACAUCAGUUUCUUUUGUUGUAAAAAGGGUCAUUGGAAGGUGGCUUUCUUUUCGGAGAAAGUGUUUAUAGCCUUUGGCCUCUGCAAUCGGAGAGAUUGAGGUCUGCAGCGUAGAUCCUUCGGGGUUAGAUACAUUCGUGCUAAGUUAUAGCCUUUCAUAGACAACUUGUUGACUAUGAUCAGUCAUGUAGCUUACUCGCUUAUGCUAUUUUACCUACGCUUAGGAUGUUGAUGUGAUACUGCGAGC